GACGAACGCUGGCGGCGUGCUUAACACAUGCAAGUCGAACGGAAAGGCCCUGCUUUUGUGGGGUGCUCGAGUGGCGAACGGGUGAGUAAAACGUGAGUAACCUGCCCUUGACUUUGGGAUAACUUCAGGAAAAUGGGGCUAAUACCGGAUAGGAGCUCCUGCAGCAUGGUGGGGGUUGGAAAGUUUCGGCGGUUGGGGAUGGACUCGAGGCUUAUCAGCUUGUUGGUGGGGUAGUGGCUUACCAAGGCUUUGACGGGUAGCCGGCCUGAGAGGGUGACCGGCCACAUUGGGACUGAGAGACGGCCCAGACGCCAACGGGAGGCAGCAGUGGGGAAUAUUGCACAGUGGGGGGAAGCCUGUUGCGGCAGCGCCGCGUGCGGGAUGACGUCCUUCGGGUUAUGAACCGCUUUCGCCUGUGACGAAGCGUGAGUGACGGUAAUGGGUAAAGAAGCACCGGCUAACUACGUG
This 468-nucleotide ribosomal RNA is filed under the name uncultured bacterium. Its description in RNAcentral is "partial 16S ribosomal RNA". It matches the Rfam family "Bacterial small subunit ribosomal RNA", at positions 28 to 507 of the family's 1533-position model. The record is from RNAcentral.